Chenopodium quinoa (quinoa) is the source of this 3861-nucleotide long non-coding RNA. RefSeq lists it as uncharacterized. Lineage: Eukaryota; Viridiplantae; Streptophyta; Magnoliopsida; Caryophyllales; Amaranthaceae. The transcript has 9 exons. The record is from RefSeq and is a predicted model, not a curated record.
UAGUAUAGUUAAGGAAGAGAUUAUGUUCUUUAAAUUCUUCUCUUACUGUUAAACACAAAUGCUAAGUAGUCAAGUUCUUUACCUUUUGUUUCAUUUUGCUUCACAAUAUGUACAAUUUAUUCUCAGAGUGUGUAGGAUAACUUUCUUAUAGUUAUUUCAAUUGUCGAAGAUAUACAGAAGCUCGGGUAUUCUAUAAUGCACUGUUAUAGUCACAAUGGCCGAAACCAACUCCCCAACCCCGAUAUCCCCCUCGACAAUCCUCAAAUUCUCAAUCUCUUUUCCUUAAAUGAAAUCAGAUUAAUUCCUCAAAUUUUCAAAGCUUUAGGGUGCAAUUUUGCUCGGUUUUAGGGUUUGAUUUCCCUUUGAGGGUUAUUUUUGCUCGAUUUUAGGGUUUCUUUUGUUCGAUUGUUGAAGGGGCGUUUUUCGCCGGUAAGGAAGGGAACACCGGCGAUGGGAGGAGAAAGAGGAGGGGGUCACUGGCGGUAGGAGGAGAAUGUUCGGUCAGAGGAGAGAGAAGGUGGUCACCGACGGUGGUUUUGGCAUUUGGAGUUUUGGGUUGGUGGUGGAUUGGUGGUCUGGGUGGUAUGAGCCGGUGUCUGAGUAGAGAAAAGGGCCGUAAGGGAAGAUAGAAAGGAGAAAUUUUCCAUUGAAGGGCCUUCUGGGUUUUCACUCUUCCAUUGAUAAAGCUUCUGAGGUUAACUUCUUUUUUUGAGACGCAGGUCAACUAUCAAAUUACAUAAAAUCAAUUACAGAAUACGAGUGUAAUACCUUCUGGUUACUUCUAUUUUUUGGGUUAUAUCUGCUUUAUCACCAAUUAAACAAGAAAUUCUGUUCAAAAGGGGGCUCUUUGAUGUAAUGAAAGGAUUCGUCUUUGAAUUAAGUUGAUGCAAUAUUAGACAAGGACAACUUCACUUUGGAAGAGCUAUUGGAUGAAGAAGAAAUAAUCCAAGAAUGCAAAGCUUUGAACAGCCGCUUGAUUAACUUCUUAUGGGACAGAGCUGAGGUGGAGUAGCUUUUGUGCUAUGUUGUAGAAGAACCUCCAGAGGAUGCUGACAGCAAACGCACCUUCAAGUUUAGAUUUUUUUUGGUGGGAGCUCUAUUGUUAGCGCUUAUUGAUCGUUACUCAGUGGCUCAUGCUGGCCCUUGAAAGUCGAGGUGCAUGCGGUGGGAUUAAAUCAUGGGUAAGUGUAAUUAUUUCUACGGGGCUUUCAUGUAGCAAUGGGAUGCGGCUCAGGGAUAUUGCUAUAGCUACUUCAAAAGAAUUUCAGGGCAAAAGAGGAGAUUGAGAAGAAGAAGAUGGAGCUUUGUGAGUGAGUUCAAGCUCAACUCGGUCGAGUCAAGGAGGAGACUAUAAAUCAUAAUAGAUACUGUAAGUUUAUGUGUUGAUGAGAUUGCUUUUGUUCCAUUAAUGAACAUCACUGAAGCUGGCAUCUCAAGCAUGGAGAGCUUUCAAAAUCCACAAAAUGCUGAUGAGAAUCCAGAUGGUCACAAUGGGUAUGGGUUCAUGGUCUCAGAGUUGCUUGGUAAUGAUGUCCCGAAUUACUCUUUAGUUCAGCCUGAUAUAAAUUUUAUGCACAAUGGCAUGGGCCUUAAUCAUGGCGAGGUACAAUCCUUGAUUUUUUAAAAUAUUGUUUGAUCUCAUAAUGUUAUUUUAUUCCGUAACUGUUACCUUUAUAUUUGGGGAUGUCCCUUUUAAUAUGGGUGUUGGAGACUUGAUGGUCAUUGAGGAACAAAACAAAAUAGGAGAUUUAUUGAUUGUUGGGCUUCUAAGAAAGAGCUUAUUAAAAAGAUGGAGGUUACGGAAAUGCGCAUGUUAAGGUGGAUGUGUGGAAACACUUAAAGAGAUAGAAUCAUAAAUGAGGUUAUUCCCAGGGAGACCAAAAAUGACUUGGUUGGAAGGAGUUAGGAAGGAUAUGAAGUGCAUGGAUUUACAUGAGGAUGAAGCUUUGGAUCGUAAGGGAUGGAGGAGAAAGAUCUAUGUUAAUGACUACACGGAAUAAUCAAAUUUGGUUCAUGUUAGCCGACCCCACUUUUGGGAUUAAGGCUUUGAUUGAUUGAUUGAUUGAUUGAUGACUAUAAUUUAUUUCUACUUUGUUCUUAGAUUUAAUAUUGUAUGAAGCUAUUUAGACACUUAUAUUUUAAGUUUGAUGCAGUAAGUUGGAUCUUUAUAGUGGUUUACUCUAUAACUUAUUUCCUACCAGUUACUAUACUUGUUGAAAAUAAAAUAAAUAUUAAGGAAAUAACAGACAUAUUAUGUGUAAGGGAAACCAUGUAUUUUGACAAUGGUCUAGGAAAGCAAAUGCUCUUAAAUUUGUUCUAGAUAGAAUAAUUACGUAUAAAAACAUAGAAUAUAUCAAAAAGUGAUAGGGGUAUACACAUGAAAAGUGAAUAAAGUAUAAUGUCUAGAAUUUGUCGUGUGUAAUACACUACAUUCAACAAACUUAGGUUUUUGUAUCUUUGUGGAAGCUGAAAGUGAACUAUAAACUUCAUAUGAAACUACAGUAGACAGUUGGAGGAGGAUAAAUGAUGUAGGAGAAGCUGGACAUUGUGUAUUAAAGAUGAAAAAAUUAUUUGCUUUUUCUAUUCAUCUCAUAGAUUGGAAGGUAUCCCUCCCAUCCCCCCCCCCCCCCCAAAAAAAAAUAAAAUAAAAUAAAAUUAAGAGAGAGAGAGAGAAAUGUAUUUGGUCCGUACCAAUAGAAGCAUGAUAAGAGGUGGAGCUUAGCCUCAGUACCAAUAGAAGAAUGACAUAUUUGGUUUGUUUGUUUGGUUUCUGUGAUUUUGAGUUUUCUAGAGAAUUAUUACCAGGUUUAGUCAUGUAUCUUAUUGUUUUUUUUAGAUCAUUGAGUCAUAUAGUAUCCAAAACUGUGUCCAAAAUCUUCAUUGGGUCGUCCUUAAUCGUGGCUAGAACAUGAUUUUGGUGUAUUUUAGCCAAGGAUUGGUGUGCUUCAUUGUUAUUGAUAUUGCUCUUGAAGUUCAUGAUGUUUGUAGUUAAUUGUCUAAUUCGAUGACUGCUGAUUGCUGAUUGUGAUUUUAUUUCGCGGUCGACCAGGCUCUCUUUUCCCUUUCAACGAUUACGUCAAAGUGAAGAACGCUUCGUUGUAAGGUUGAUUGUGUAAUUUUGGGGCUGAAUUUUGAGUUAUUUAUUGCUGAAUUUUUAUUUAUUGUGAUUUAAUUAACUACAAGGUUUGGUGAAGAAUUGGGAGAAUUUAGGCGACUUUGCAAAUUCUGAUUCUGAGCAAAUGGCUGGGCAGGUUUGGUUAUUUAACUGUAUACUGUUUGCUUGUUUGAUUGAAGAAGCCUAUCACCCUUUAGGCGACUCUGCAAACUAUUUGGCUAUUUGCCGAAUCAUUGGAGAAGCAGAAAGGUUCAGAAUUGAAUUAUGGUUAUGGGGUUUGUAGAUUUUGCAGGUUUUUGAUGAAUUUUGUUUAAUUGCAGAAGUGAUGAGAUUACGAGAUAAGAGCUUCAAUGACACUCAAUUCAAAUGCCCUUUUGGUGCUUCUCGAGGAGAACCAUGAGUGCUCUUUCGAUAACUCUCAGAACAAUGUCAAUUCAAACAACCUUUUCGUACUAUCAGGGCUUUCACAUAUCUUAUUUUCCGUUGGUCUAGGCUUCUAGCUGUUACCUUGUUCUUGGUGAAAUUGGCUAAGCAUCACUACAUUUCGAGAGACGGUUGCAGUCAACUGACAUUUGUAUGGAGCGGAAAAUUAUUCUAGAAGCUUCUGAUGGUCUACAAAAGGCUCAGGUACCCUCAUCUUCUCUGUUUACAAUGGCAGUGAGAGGCUAUCAACAAGUUGAUCGAAGAAGCCAUACUUGAGGCAGAGGAAAAAGGGAUCAAUGUAGUGAGCUUAGGACUUUUGAAUC